AUUGAACGCUGGCGGAAUGCUUAACACAUGCAAGUCGAGCGGGGUGUAGCAAUACACCUAGCGGCGGACGGGUGAGGAAUACAUAGGAAUCUGCCUCAGAGCGGGGGACAGCCCGGGAACCCGGAUUAAUACCGCAUGAUGUCGCAAGACCAAAGUGGGGGACCGCAAGGCCCCACACUCUGAGAUGAGCCUAUGUCCGAUUAGCUAGUUGGCGGGGUAAUAGCCCACCAAGGCGACGAUCGGUAGCUGGUCUGAGAGGACGAUCAGCCACACCGGAACUGAGACACGGUCCGGACUCCUACGGGAGGCAGCAGUGGGGAAUAUUGGACAAUGGGCGCAAGCCUGAUCCAGCAA
RNAcentral lists this ribosomal RNA (354 nucleotides) under uncultured bacterium. Its description in RNAcentral is "bacterial SSU rRNA". It matches the Rfam family "Bacterial small subunit ribosomal RNA", at positions 29 to 394 of the family's 1533-position model. The record is from RNAcentral.